RNAcentral lists this ribosomal RNA (807 nucleotides) under Calonarius aff. callochrous TF2001-103. RNAcentral's name for it is "eukaryotic LSU rRNA". The stretch from base 293 to 446 matches the Rfam family "5.8S ribosomal RNA". Lineage: Eukaryota; Fungi; Basidiomycota; Agaricomycetes; Agaricales; Cortinariaceae. The record is from RNAcentral.
AAAGUCGUAACAAGGUUUCCGUAGGUGAACCUGCGGAAGGAUCAUUAUUGAAAUAAACCUGAUAAGUUGCUGCUGGUUCUCUAGGGAGCAAUGUGCACACUUGUCAUCUUUGUAUCUUCACCUGUGCACCUUUUGUAGACCUGACUAUCUCUCUGAAUGCUUUUAUUAGCAAUCAGGAUUGGGAAUUGACUUCUUGGUCUUUUCUUAUAUUUUCAGGUCUAUGUUUACUCAUAUACCCUAAUGUAUGUUUAUAGAAUGUCAUUGAUGGGCCUUUGUGCCUAUAAACUUUUACAACUUUCAGCAACGGAUCUCUUGGCUCUCGCAUCGAUGAAGAACGCAGCGAAAUGCGAUAAGUAAUGUGAAUUGCAGAAUUCAGUGAAUCAUCGAAUCUUUGAACGCACCUUGCGCUCCCUGGUAUUCCGAGGAGCAUGCCUGUUUGAGUGUCAUUAAUAUUAUCAACCUUUUUGGUUGGAUGUGGGUUUGCUGGCCUCUUGAGGUCAACUUUCCUAAAAUGCAUUAGCGGACAACAUUUUUGCCAACCGUUCAUUGGUGUGAUAAUUAUCUACGCUAUUGACGUGAAGCAAGGUUCUGCUUCUAAUAGUCCAUUGACUUGGACAAGCCUUCUUUUAUUAAUUUGACCUCAAAUCAGGUAGGACUACCCGCUGAACUUAAGCAUAUCAAUAAGCGGAGGAAAAGAAACUAACAAGGAUUCCCCUAGUAACUGCGAGUGAGCGGGAAAAGCUCAAAUUUAAAAUCUGGCAGUCUUUGGCUGUCCGAGUUGUAUCUAGAGAGCAUUAUCCGCGCUGG